AGAGUUUGAUCAUGGCUCAGGAUGAACGCUGGCGGUAUGCUUAACACAUGCAAGUCGAACGAAAUCUUCGGACUUAGUGGCGGACGGGUGAGUAAAGCGUGAGAAUCUGGCUUCAGGUUGGGGAGAACAGAGGGAAACAGCUGCUAAUACCCACUGUGCUGAGAGGUAAAAGAUUAAUUGCAUGAAGCUGAGCUCGCGUCUGAUUAGCUAGAUGGUGGGGGAAAGGCCUACCAUGGCGACGAUCAGUAGCUGGUCUGAGAGGAUGGGCAGCCACACGGGGACUGGGACACGGCCCAGACUCCUACGGGAGGCAGCAGGGGGGAAUUUUCCGCAAUGGGCGCAAGCCUGACGGAGCAAUACCGCGUGAGGGAGGAAGGCCCUUGGGUUGUAAACCUCUUUUCUCAAGGAAUAUAAUGACGGUACUUGAGGAAUCAGCAUCGGCUAGCUCCGUGCCAGCCGCCGCGGUAAUAC
RNAcentral lists this ribosomal RNA (471 nucleotides) under uncultured bacterium. RNAcentral's name for it is "bacterial SSU rRNA". It matches the Rfam family "Bacterial small subunit ribosomal RNA", at positions 8 to 526 of the family's 1533-position model. The record is from RNAcentral.